AACGAACGCUGGCGGCAGGCCUAACACAUGCAAGUCGAACGAACCUUUCGGGGUUAGUGGCGGACGGGUGCGUAACACGUGGGAACGUGCCUUUAGGUUCGGAAUAACUCAGCGAAACUUGUGCUAAUACCGGAUGAGACCUUCGGGCGAAAGAUUUAUCGCCUUUGGAUGGGCCCGCGUUUGAUUAGCUAGUUGGUUGGGGUAAUGGCUACCCAGGAGGCGAUCCAUAGCUUGGCUGAGAGGAUGAUCAGCCAGACUGGGACUGAGACACGGCCCAGACUGGUACGGGAGGCAGCAGAGGGGAAGAUUGGAGAAUGGGCGAGAGCCUGAUACAGCAAUGCCGGGUGAGUGAUGAAGGGCUUAGGGUUGUAAAGCGCUUUUACCCGGGAUGAUAAUGACAGUACCGGGAGAAGAAGCUCCGGCUAACUCCGUG
Molecule: ribosomal RNA, 433 nt
Filed under: uncultured bacterium
Lineage: Bacteria
Description: partial 16S ribosomal RNA
Rfam family: Bacterial small subunit ribosomal RNA
Source: RNAcentral